Molecule: non-coding RNA, 21 nt
Filed under: Rattus norvegicus (Norway rat)
Lineage: Eukaryota; Metazoa; Chordata; Mammalia; Rodentia; Muridae
Source: RNAcentral
CAGUCUCUUGCUCAGUGGUAC